GCUCAAAACUUAGCCCUAUAACUUAAAUACACCCUAAAACCUCUCCCCCUAAACUAAAACAUUUUAACAAUUUAGUAAAGGCGAUUAAAAAAUUUUCAGGCGCUAUAAAAGCAGUACCGCAAGGAAAUAGUGAAAUAAAAAUGAAAUAAAUUUUAAGCACAAAAAAGUAAAGAUUAACUCUUGUACCUUUUGCAUCAUGGUCUAACAAGUCUAAUCAAGCAAAAUGCCUUUAAGUUUGACCCCCCGAAACUAAGCGAGCUACUUUAGGACAGCUUAAUGAGCAAACCCGUCUCUGUUGCAAAAGAGUGGGAAGAUCUUACAGUAGCGGUGACAGACCUAACGAGCUUAGUGAUAGCUGGUUGCUCAAGAAAAGGAUUUUAGUCCCACCUAAAGGCCCCCCCCCAAUAAUUAUUUAUACUAGAUGGGCUUUAGAGCAAUUCAAAUAAGGUACAGCCUAUUUGAAUUAGGAUACAACCUAAACCUCAGGGUAAUAUCGUGACACAACAAAAAAGUGGGCCUAAAAGCAGCCACCUUUAAGACAGCGUCAAAGCUUGCUUGUUUUACUCUUCAAUUCCGAAACUCCCCUAGAACCCUUAAAUACUACUGAGCAAUUCUAUAUUUUUAUAGAAGUUAUUAUGUUAAAACUAGUAAUAAGAAGAACCUCCUUCUCUUUAAUGUAAGUGUAAAUCAGAAAGGACCUUCCACUGAUUCUUAACAUGUAUAAACUAAUAAUAGUAACAUAACAAGAAAACCCUAUUAUACCUCAUGUUAAUCUAACACAAGAACAUUACAAGAAAGAUUAAAAGAAAGGGAAGGAACUCGGCAAACCUUAGCCCCGCCUGUUUACCAAAAACAUCGCCUCUUGAUAUCUCAUAAGAGGUCCAGCCUGCCCAGUGACACUGUUCAACGGCCGCGGUAUCCUAACCGUGCGAAGGUAGCGUAAUCACUUGUUCAUUAAAUGUGGACUAGUAUGAAUGGCACCACGAAGGCUAUACUGUCUCCCCUCUCUAAUCAAUGAAACUAAUCUUCCCGUGAAGAAGCGGAAAUAAACCUAUAAGACGAGAAGACCCUAUGGAGCUUUAAACUUAGUAACAAUUACUAUCUAAAUUUUCUUAAUUAACACUUAACCCGGUUCUAUGUCUACUAGUUUUAGGUUGGGGUGACCGCGGAGUAAAAUAAAACCUCCUCAUUGAACGGACUUAAACUCCUGAGCAAUAAUCCACGAAUUUAUGCACUAAUAAACUAACAUCUAUUGACCCAAUUAAUUGAUCAACGAACCAAGUUACCCUAGGGAUAACAGCGCAAUCCACCUCAAGAGCUCCUAUCGACAGGCGGGUUUACGACCUCGAUGUUGGAUCAGGGUACCCAAGUGGUGCAGCCGCUACUAAAGGUUCGUUUGUUCAACGAUUAAAACCCU
Molecule: ribosomal RNA, 1417 nt
Filed under: Scarthyla goinorum (Tarauaca snouted treefrog)
Lineage: Eukaryota; Metazoa; Chordata; Amphibia; Anura; Hylidae
Description: partial 16S ribosomal RNA
Rfam family: Bacterial large subunit ribosomal RNA
Source: RNAcentral